UGCAGAAUCCCGUGAACCAUCGAGUCUUUGAACGCAAGUUGCGCCCGAAGCCAUCCGGCUGAGGGCACGUCUGCCUGGGUGUCACGC
RNAcentral lists this ribosomal RNA (87 nucleotides) under Lawsonia inermis (henna). Its description in RNAcentral is "partial 5.8S ribosomal RNA". It matches the Rfam family "5.8S ribosomal RNA", at positions 73 to 154 of the family's 154-position model. From Rfam's summary of the family: 5.8S ribosomal RNA (5.8S rRNA) is a component of the large subunit of the eukaryotic ribosome. It is transcribed by RNA polymerase I as part of the 45S precursor that also contains 18S and 28S rRNA. Functionally, it is thought that 5.8S rRNA may be involved in ribosome translocation. Lineage: Eukaryota; Viridiplantae; Streptophyta; Magnoliopsida; Myrtales; Lythraceae. The record is from RNAcentral.